RNAcentral lists this transfer RNA (81 nucleotides) under Alectoria sarmentosa. RNAcentral's name for it is "tRNA-Val". The record is from RNAcentral. Lineage: Eukaryota; Fungi; Ascomycota; Lecanoromycetes; Lecanorales; Parmeliaceae.
AAUCGUCUUACAGUAGUUGGUUAUCACGUAUCCUUAACAAAUUUCCGGAUAAGGUCUUGAGUUCGAUCCUCAAAUCGAUCA